GACGAACCGUGCGAACGUUACUCGGAAUCACUGGGCUUAAAGGGCGCGUAGGUGGCGGCGUAAGUAGGAAGUGAAAUACCAUCGGCUCAACCGUGGAACUGCUUCCUGUACUGCGCCGCUCGAGUGGGUGAGGGGCUCGCGGAACUGCCGGUGGAGUGGUGAAAUAUGUUGAUAUCGGCGGGAACGCCAGUGGCGAAAGCGGCGAGCUGGACCCCAACUGACACUGAGGCGCGAAAGCUAGGGUAGCGAACGGG
RNAcentral lists this ribosomal RNA (254 nucleotides) under uncultured bacterium. RNAcentral describes it as "partial 16S ribosomal RNA". It matches the Rfam family "Bacterial small subunit ribosomal RNA", at positions 524 to 776 of the family's 1533-position model. The record is from RNAcentral.